GCCAGCGCCUAACGGAAAAUAUCUCGAGAGGUCGGGGUGGUCGGUAUCAUGCUAGUUGUUUCGUUCGCUGGUUAAUGAGUCGAGCUCUUUCCCUUCUCGCUUCAAACCAAACCAAAAUCGGAGCGGCGGAGCAAAACGAUCCGUAGCCUCGCUUACCUUCGAUUCAGCUCGACCAGGGCACUAACCGGGAAGCCAAUGCCGCGCGAGUCGCGAGAUCUGUAGCGCCAAUCGGCUUCACCGGCGGCGGGGUGGGCAUGGAAGCGCAGAACGGCUCCUGCGGAGGGGCGCCCGUGGUGCUCAACGUGUACGACCUGACGCCCAUGAACAACUACCUCUACUGGUUCGGCCUCGGUAUUUUCCACUCUGGAAUCGAAGUUCAUGGUAUGGAGUACGGAUUUGGAGCACACCAGUUUCCGGCAAGUGGAGUAUUCGAGGUGGAACCGAAAAGCUGUCCUGGUUUCAUCUACAGAAGAUCUGUGUGGAUGGGCACAACUGACUUGUCUAGAGCAGAGUUCCGCUCGUUCAUUGAAAAUCUUGCAGGAAAGUACAACGGCAACACGUAUCAUUUGAUUUCGAAGAACUGCAACCAUUUUACAGAUGAUGUCUGUAAGAGCUUGACCAAGAAAUCAAUCCCUGGGUGGGUGAAUAGGCUAGCAAGAGUGGGUUCAUUUUUUAAUUGUCUUCUACCAGAAAGCAUCCAAGUUUCCACAGUAAGACACGUUCCUACUCAAUCUGCAUUUUCUGGUGAGUUUGUGCCUGGAAAUUCUUCUUAUUAGGAUUUGUGCAGUUGACCUGUUUUUUUUUAAUAAAAACUGUUACGUAGGCGGUAGACGCCUAGACCUUGUUGUGAAACUUUACAUUUUUAACUGUCCUAUAAACAUCAACAAAUUGAACCUCCGUUGGACUGGUAUUCCUUGGUGUAAUGAGUGGCUGACCAUCCUGAAUACUUUACUAGCAAGUAAUCUGGUAGACUUUUGGCCAUAUUCGAAAUAACCACCCAGCCUAGUAAAAAAGAGGUAAUGAUAAUGUAUAGCUAGUAAGUUAGAUAGGACUGAGUUAUCAACACUAAGAUUAUUAGUUUCUCAGAAUUCAUUUUCUUCAGCUCAAUAUCUUGUGACCUUCUAUAAGCCACUCCAGAUUCUAACUGAGACUUCAAACAAGGGCGGAUCUACACCCGGGCCACCCGGUCCAGGGCCCGGGGCUUGAUCCAUAUAACUGAGCCUUAGACCCGUGCUCUGGCGUGGGAUAGACGAGGAGAUUUUUUUAACCACGGCCUGGAAUUCGCUCCCACGGGGAGUCGAACUCAGUAACUGAGUGCUACUCAUACCACCUAACCAACUCAGAUGAUGAUAUGGAUUCGGUAUCUUCAUCGGUUCUUGGAGACAGUGAUCUGGGAGAGUUAGACCAACACCUUCUGCCAUCGUCAACUGCUGACGUCCAUUCUAUAGACGUGCCACCAAAUCUAGCCAAGGAUCUUCUCUGAAUUAUCCAACCCUUUGGAUUCCACGUAGCAGGAUAGCUUAAAUUGCUGCAGUUGAUGUCCACUUAGUGCCUCUCCAGGUGGCAUAGGAAUGCAGGAGUGUAGAUGAAUGCUGCUGAUUGUGUUGAUUCUUUGCCACUGAAUUUGUUACAUACGCACACACAGCUCUCGACAGAAAUGACGUGCUUUCUAAUUAUUUUCCUGUUA
RNA transcript from Zea mays, 1687 nucleotides. RefSeq lists it as uncharacterized. The transcript is spliced from 4 exons. NCBI's taxonomy places the organism in Eukaryota, Viridiplantae, Streptophyta, Magnoliopsida, Poales, Poaceae. The record is from RefSeq and is marked validated.